Long non-coding RNA from Chenopodium quinoa (quinoa), 2085 nucleotides. RefSeq lists it as uncharacterized. Lineage: Eukaryota; Viridiplantae; Streptophyta; Magnoliopsida; Caryophyllales; Amaranthaceae. The record is from RefSeq and is a predicted model, not a curated record. The transcript has 13 exons.
AAAAAUGGAUCAAAUGAAAAUAAGGAGAAAGAACCAACAACACUAGAGGAUCUUGGUCCUGAAGGAGGCCUCCCGUCUUUAUGCAGCAAGCUGGGUACGAGACAUUGGUCCUGAACUCCGCCCAAAUGAUUACAAGAAGGAAGAAAGUGCAGAUAAAAAUGGAUCAAAUGAAAAUAAGGAGAAAGAACCAACAACACUAGAGGAUCUUGGUCCUGAAGGAGGCCUCCCGUCUUUAUGCAGCAAGCUGGGUACGAGACAUUGGUCCUGAACUCCGCCCAAAUGAUUACAAGAAGGAAGAAAGUGCAGAUAAAAAUGGAUCAAAUGAAAAUAAGGAGAAAGAACCAACAACACUAGAGGAUCUUGGUCCUGAAGGAGGCCUCCCGUCUUUAUGCAGCAAGCUGGGUACGAGACAUUGGUCCUGAACUCCGCCCAAAUGAUUACAAGAAGGAAGAAAGUGCAGAUAAAAAUGGAUCAAAUGAAAAUAAGGAGAAAGAACCAACAACACUAGAGGAUCUUGGUCCUGAAGGAGGCCUCCCGUCUUUAUGCAGCAAGCUGGGUACGAGACAUUGGUCCUGAACUCCGCCCAAAUGAUUACAAGAAGGAAGAAAGUGCAGAUAAAAAUGGAUCAAAUGAAAAUAAGGAGAAAGAACCAACAACACUAGAGGAUCUUGGUCCUGAAGGAGGCCUCCCGUCUUUAUGCAGCAAGCUGGGUACGAGACAUUGGUCCUGAACUCCGCCCAAAUGAUUACAAGAAGGAAGAAAGUGCAGAUAAAAAUGGAUCAAAUGAAAAUAAGGAGAAAGAACCAACAACACUAGAGGAUCUUGGUCCUGAAGGAGGCCUCCCGUCUUUAUGCAGCAAGCUGGGUACGAGACAUUGGUCCUGAACUCCGCCCAAAUGAUUACAAGAAGGAAGAAAGUGCAGAUAAAAAUGGAUCAAAUGAAAAUAAGGAGAAAGAACCAACAACACUAGAGGAUCUUGGUCCUGAAGGAGGCCUCCCGUCUUUAUGCAGCAAGCUGGGUACGAGACAUUGGUCCUGAACUCCGCCCAAAUGAUUACAAGAAGGAAGAAAGUGCAGAUAAAAAUGGAUCAAAUGAAAAUAAGGAGAAAGAACCAACAACACUAGAGGAUCUUGGUCCUGAAGGAGGCCUCCCGUCUUUAUGCAGCAAGCUGGGUACGAGACAUUGGUCCUGAACUCCGCCCAAAUGAUUACAAGAAGGAAGAAAGUGCAGAUAAAAAUGGAUCAAAUGAAAAUAAGGAGAAAGAACCAACAACACUAGAGGAUCUUGGUCCUGAAGGAGGCCUCCCGUCUUUAUGCAGCAAGCUGGGUACGAGACAUUGGUCCUGAACUCCGCCCAAAUGAUUACAAGAAGGAAGAAAGUGCAGAUAAAAAUGGAUCAAAUGAAAAUAAGGAGAAAGAACCAACAACACUAGAGGAUCUUGGUCCUGAAGGAGGCCUCCCGUCUUUAUGCAGCAAGCUGGGUACGAGACAUUGGUCCUGAACUCCGCCCAAAUGAUUACAAGAAGGAAGAAAGUGCAGAUAAAAAUGGAUCAAAUGAAAAUAAGGAGAAAGAACCAACAACACUAGAGGAUCUUGCGGUUGCUGCUAGAGGAGGGAUGGAGACUUUAAGACCUGCUCUGCAACGGUUGUACAUGACCAGAGCUUCUGCCUACAAGGAUGCUAUGAAGAGUUUCAUCGCUGGGUACCAGGAGGGUAUCCAACAAGUUGUGGACAAGAAAGAAAAGUAUGAAUCUCAAAAUCCCGAAGAUGAUUCAAAAAAGCCGUUUUAACCGCAAUGAAUAAAUAGUGAGUGAGAACAAUGACUACUGAUGUAAUGGAACUGCUCUAUAUACGAAGACUGGAAACAACUCGAGGUAUCAUGUUUACAAUUUUGUAUCGCCAGAAUCAGCUGUCGGAACAUAGUUUUAGACUUCUAAUUAUUAUUAUUAUUAAGUUUUCUAAGGCAGAAAAGAGUAGACAUGUAGAUUGUGGAACCUGAGGUAGCAUGCUUUGAUGAUUUUACUAGUUGAAUAUAGAUACUAAGAUGAUACUUGAGGAAGGAAAUGAUAUUUGAAGUUAUUUUUUA